This 253-nucleotide ribosomal RNA is filed under the name uncultured bacterium. Its description in RNAcentral is "partial 16S ribosomal RNA". It matches the Rfam family "Bacterial small subunit ribosomal RNA", at positions 524 to 776 of the family's 1533-position model. The record is from RNAcentral.
GACAGAGGGGGCAAGCGUUGUUCGGAAUUACUGGGCGUAAAGGGCGCGUAGGCGGCCCGUCAAGUCCCGUGUGAAAGCCCCCGGCUCAACCGGGGAACGGCGCGGGAAACUAGCAGGCUUGAGUUCGGGAGAGGGAAGCGGAAUUCCGGGUGUAGCGGUGAAAUGCGCAGAUAUCCGGAGGAACACCGGUGGCGAAGGCGGCUUCCUGGACCGACACUGACGCUGAGGCGCGAAAGCUAGGGGAGCAAACGGG